RNAcentral lists this long non-coding RNA (455 nucleotides) under Medicago truncatula (barrel medic). Its description in RNAcentral is "long non-coding RNA (MTRU_LNC001664)". Lineage: Eukaryota; Viridiplantae; Streptophyta; Magnoliopsida; Fabales; Fabaceae. The record is from RNAcentral.
UAAGGGACUUUUAUCCCUUUGACACUAACGAUGGUUACUUCAUGGUGAAUAACAAAAUCUCCCCAUUAGGUAAAAUAAAAAACUCCAUCUUCAUUCAUAAAUUUAGGCAUUAUCUUGAACACCAGUUGAAUAAUCAUGGUUACGAACUUAGGGAUUCUAUUGCUGAUCAGGAUGCAAAUUAAUAGAUACUCAUAACAUAAUUUACAUAUUCCAAGCAAUAGUGAGAGAGAGAAAAAAAUCAAGUUGUGUUAAUCUAAGGGAGGUGAACGUGGUUUUCCGAACUAGAAGGAUUGUGAGUGUCUUUUGGUAAAAUAUUAGGGGAGGUGAGUGUAAUUUUUUUCUAAAUUAUAUGUAUAAACAAUGUAAAUUUUUUUCAAUAUAUCUAUUACAAUCAAACUAUGAAGUGUUGUCACAAAAAAUAACACUAAGCUCUCAUGUUUGUUUAGUUUGUAACG